This 468-nucleotide ribosomal RNA is filed under the name uncultured bacterium. RNAcentral describes it as "partial 16S ribosomal RNA". It matches the Rfam family "Bacterial small subunit ribosomal RNA", at positions 28 to 507 of the family's 1533-position model. The record is from RNAcentral.
GACGAACGCUGGCGGCGUGCUUAACACAUGCAAGUCGAACGGAAAGGCCCUGCUUUUGUGGGGUGCUCGAGUGGCGAACGGGUGAGUAACACGUGAGUAACCUGCCCUUGACUUUGGGAUAACUUCAGGAAACUGGGGCUAAUACCGGAUAGGAGCUCCUGCUGCAUGGUGGGGGUUGGAAAGUUUCGGCGGUUGGGGAUGGACUCGCGGCUUAUCAGCUUGUUGGUGGGGUAGUGGCUUACCAAGGCUUUGACGGGUAGCCGGCCUGAGAGGGUGACCGGCCACAUUGGGACUGAGAUAGGGCCCAGACUCAGAGGGGAGGAAGCAGUGGGGAAUAUUGCACAAUGGGCGGAAGCCUGAUGCAGCAAUGCAGCGUGCGGGAUGAAGGCGAUCGGGUUGUAAACCGAUUUAGCAUGUGACGAAGCGUGAGUGACGGGAAUGGGUAAAGAAGAACAGGCUAAAUACGUG